Molecule: small RNA, 728 nt
Filed under: Alteracholeplasma palmae J233
Lineage: Bacteria; Bacillati; Mycoplasmatota; Mollicutes; Acholeplasmatales; Acholeplasmataceae
Description: bacterial LSU rRNA
Rfam family: Bacterial large subunit ribosomal RNA (bases 281-728)
Source: RNAcentral
CGCCCGUCAAACCACGAAAGUCAGCAAUACCCAAAGCCGGUGGCCUAACCGUAAGGAGGGAGCCGUUUAAGGUAGGGUUGGUGAUUGGGGUUAAGUCGUAACAAGGUAUCCCUACCGGAAGGUGGGGAUGGAUCACCUCCUUUCUAAGGAGAAAGGCAUUAAAAAUGCAACAACCAAAUUACUCAUCAUAUUCAGUUUUGAAAGACCUAAUAAGUUUUUCAGCAGUUAAGAUUAGAUCUUUGAAAAGUAGAUAAAAUUCUGUUAAAAGAAAAGAAAUAUAGGUUAAGGAACAAAGGGCGCACAGUGAAUGCCUUGGCACUAAGAGCCGAUGAAGGACGCAACUAACAGCGAAAUUCCAUGGGAAGCGGUAAGUACGCGAUGAUCCAUGGGUGUCCGAAUGGGGGAACCCACCAUGUGGAAGACAUGGUAUCCAGCAAUGGAAGGGAAACGCAGUGAACUGAAAUAUCUAAUUAGCUGCAGGAAAAGAAAGUAAAAACGAUUCUGCUAGUAGCGACGAGCGAACGCGGAGGAGCCAGAUACUAUAAUAGUUACAAAACUUUAUGUGAGAAGAAUAACUUGGGAAGGUUAACCAAAGAAGGUGAAAGUCCUGUAAUCGAAGCGUAAAGACUAGGGUAUCAGAAAGUACGGCGAGACACGAGAAAUCUUGUCGGAAGAUGCGAGGACCAUCUCGUAAGGCUAAAUACUACUUAGUGACCGAUAGUGAACCA